CUAUCUUGCCCUCGAUCUUAUCCUUUCUUAGCUUAGAAGUUCAACAUAUCCUUCUCUCAUUUCUGUAUCUUUUCACCUUGUGUAGAACUUCAACAUAUCCUUCUCUCCUUCAUGUGCUUGUUUUUUUAUUUUGGCUCCAAUUAAAAUGCUAAAGUUCGAUGAAUCUCUCCAGAUGCUCAAAUCACAAGGAAAGAUGAGCUUUUUAACGUCAAUCAAACUUUUUGUUGCUGAAGUUAGGAAGGUGCUGCGUUCUUGUUCAUUUGAAGUUAUUGAUAAAACCACCCACGAUUCAACAUGAUGGCCAAUUUCAAAUUUAUAUCGAUCAUAAUCUGCGCCAACUCUUCCUGUUCGUUCUUCAUCACCAUCAUUCAAUUCGUAUUCGUUCUUCAGAAUAUCAACAGGCAAUUCAGCAAUCAUGACACAUUCGACCGAUCAGAAUAUUAUUUCUGCGAAUUUGCUAAUUCAUGAGACCGCUCAACGACCGGGAGAACAACAUCAUGAUACGAACGAUCAUCUUGAUGCUCGAGCCAAUUUGUUAGUUCCUCGGAGUAAUGAUCAAGCAGUAGAUCGUCAUGAAGAGGGUACCCGUAUGUCAGAGACGAUCGAUCAGCCCAACAUUGCUGCCAAGUUGUUAAUACCUCAAAGCGCUGAACCAGAAGAAGAUAAUCAUCAAGAUGCAAACGAGCAGCCCGACGGACUAGCUGAUUUGGUAACUCAGUGUCCACGGUCAAGAAUUGGGAAAAUAAGGUUCCUGUAUUCUUUCAGGUCCAUUAACUCCUCCUUUUCCUCCAACACAACCCUCAAGGCACUAGUAAACAUAUCUAAGCGUUUGUUGUCAUCAUAACUUGAUUUGGUCAGCAUUUCCUCAGUCUAGUGUUAGAAACAAACAGGAAAAAAUAAUAUUAAACUAAUGUAUCCGAUAUUCUAAUUACGUAGAGAACGCUAUUCCAAGAUAUGAGUAGUGUUAUAAAAUAUUCUUACAAAAAGGGUGGUAUGACAAAGCAGCCUUGGCAUUGUAAACUCUCGUCUUUUGACUUCGUCAUGAUUAAGCAUAGAUGCCCAAUAGUUAAUGAUGCCCGUGCUCAGCCAAACAUUUGGUAGUAGAUCCAAUAUAUGAAAGUGCAUCAGAUGUGUUCCAUAGGCAGUGCAGAAUAUAUCAUUCUUGUACACAUCCGUGUUGCAAACAAAAAAUUAGAAUACACAUAUUCAUAUACGUUAAGUGCACCAACCUUUGUACAUUUGAGUUAAGCACUUACGCCAUAGUUCUUCGGACCUCAUUUUCUUCCUUUCUAUCCCGGUUAGAUUUAGCUUUACUUCUUUUUUCCUUUAUCAAUUCAGCCAAAGGUCUGCGUGACCCAUAAAGAAAGGAAACAACGUGAACAUAAUUAUGUAGUAUUCAACGGUUUACUAUCUAAUUCUCUAAUUCAAAACUGAUGCCUUAUAAUAGAUGACGUAUUAAAUACAUACCUUUCAUCCUCUUUAUCUUCGUCUUUUUUCCUAUCUUCCCUUGGCUUUGCCACCCUUCGUGUUGGAUAUAAAAACUAGUUAACCAAAAGAUAUUCACAUAUGUAUUGUAAAAUAAUAUUAGAAACUCACUGUGUAUCAAUUGCACCCUCAAGGACGCAUUCCCAAACUAUGUUUUCUUCCCUUGUGAUAGCCUUGGAGAUAUUGACUGCUCUCUCCAGCCAAGGCGAUCUCCCGAAUGCAGCUAUUUUAGGUAUUCUCUUUCGUUUCCCUUUGUUGACUUCAUUUGUUUGUGGUCGAGUUUUCUUUAUAUCCCGCACUUCUGGGGACGGGAAAUCUUGUGCAGUCCCGCGGCUCGAUGAAGGUCUUUUGUUAUCAGUCCGGAUAUCAUUCACCGGCACGCCUUCAUCAUCUAGCUUUCCAGUUGCAAUAUAUUCAAUAAUGUCGGCUAGCUGAACCGCAGUUUGGGUCCACGCUGAUACAACAUGCGGGGUUGAGAAGAUGCCUGAGUCGUCAUCUCCAGGUGUGUUGCACUCUUGGUUUCUUUUUAGGCUUACACCUACAAACAUACAUUUAAAAAAACAGUGAUGUCUACACAACAUUAACCCCAAACAAUUAUACGUAAUCAGUCAGUGUUAUUGGAUUAUGACAUUACACAAUUCAUACCUGUAUCGUUAUUUCCCUUUUGGUUGGUACAAACAGCAGAUUUCUCCACAGUUGAUUUGGCCUCCGCAUCAAAACUCUUGUUGAAUAAUGCUUUGUAUCGUUCCGCAGCUUCUAAAACCUCCAUAGUAUCCGGAUAACAGCGUGCAAACUUUGAUAUUGCUCGGUCUAACUUGCCUUUCACAGCUUCUGCUUCAUCACACAUUGCAUUGAUACUAGAUAUGUAUGCCUGACAUUCGAAAGAAUCAAUGACAUAUACUAAUUAAUCAGGACCAUUCUAUGUUGAUGGGAAAACAACAUAGAAUCACCAAUAUGUAACACUUACCUUCAUCUCAUAUCUAACAUCAUUCUCAGUUGUCAUCCCUUCAUCAUUACGCGUUAUAUCCACUACCUCUUCCUCACUUUCCGUAUCAUAUUCAUUAUCAUCGUCAAACAGCUCCUUCACAGAAACAGUCCCUAAUCCUCCAUUCUUUAUCUCCAUUUGUUGUCUCUGACUUAUCCUUUCAGUGUUCCAGUAAGAUAUUGGUGGCUCCGUUAUUUCAUCAUCAAAACCAACGGACCUGGUUCGGACCAGGUAUAGCAACUACAAAAACAACAACAAAGUAGUUCAUCUUAGCUAUGCUAGUAACUAGUGGGUUCGCAAUAACAAUAAAGAAGAAAGUAUGUACAAUGAUAAUAACUGUUGCUCGGGACACGUAUAUGGGUAUACUGUAUACACAUAUGUAUUACUGAAAAAAUACACAUGUGUAUUGUCGAAGCGCAUGCCUUGUUUGCAUUGCACCUUCACCCUUAAGCAUCGUUAUUGAUUAAAUGUCCUCUUUACAUCAAAUUCAGAAACAAAAGGUCUUAGUAACACAUACCACUAAAAAUGUAAGGGGUCCUCGGAACCAUGAGUUUUAUCACACCUCCUCCAAUGGUUUUUACACACUUUCACUGCGUCGAUUAUAAACUGGCACCAAUCAUGCUCUUUAAAGCUAUGAUCCAUGUCAAACAUGUACAACAAUGUGUACAUUGCUAUGCCAUUCAUCGUGCAGCCCACCAUCGUUGAUAUGAACAAUAUCACAAAAUCCAUCUGGAACAUCUCUUCGUCCUCAUCUUCGUACUCCGAAAUUUUGCCUACCAGGUCUGUGCAGCUAAUGAUACUCCUGCUAAACCUUCCUCUCCACCGGGAUAUCAACGGAUGCUUAGAAGCUUCCUUGUUGUCAACGUUUACCCUAAUUCCCCCACAUGGUAACCCCAACAGUUUCUGUACCGAAUCCUUGUCAACCUUGAUUGUUUGUUCGCCUAACCUGAUAACCAUGUUUUUGGUAUCUAGACGAUCGACUACAAAAUGCCCUAAAGCAGAUUUAAUUACAACCACCUUCAGCUUCAGAAUCUUACCAAACCCCAUCCGUCAAACAAUAUUCCGUUGCGUCGUUGUCAUCUUCUUAAUAGCUUCGCACAACUUCUUUGGUGACGUUCGCGUCCUAAUCCCGGGCAGCUGAUGAUUUUUUUUCCCUCUUCGAUGCUUUACAGAUUUCAAUUUUUUGCGCUUAUCUUCUUUCUUGGAAUGCCGGGUUUUAUACUUAAACAAAUCAUCCAACACCCGGUCUCUUUUAUCUCCCUUGUCAUCUGUUCAAUAUUCAUGAACCAAAUUUUAGGUUAACAGAUUACACAAAAUAACAGAUUAUUAAAAGUAACUUUUUUUCCAACACUGAAUUACCUCCUUUUCUGUCAUCCUUGUUACUCCUCUUUGGUUUUCCUAACCGACCAGAUUUUUUGUGCAGGGUUGAACGCGAUUCAGCUUCCCCUGUUAUUAAAAAAAUAACAAAACGUAAGGGUUUGCUAAACUAGUACACAUACCUUACAUAUUCAAUUUUCUCAACGAAAACGUGUACAUACCUUUCAUUUCCCCUGCAUCAGAAGCUACUGUCCUUUUAUUCGUUGUAUCACCCUCACCAGCACAUUUCCCUAAGAUAAACCAAAAAAUACCCAACGGAUUCAAACUACAGAUUAUAUUAUACCGUUCCUUUUCUGAUAGUCACAACUAAAAACUUAAAACUCAUUAUACACAUGUGUUUUUACCUUUGUUUUCAGUCUCUUCAUUAUUGUCACCUAAGUAAAAAUUCAUGAAAUUAAAAUCAAUUUGUAGUUUACUAAUCAAUUAUCUUUGAAUGCUAACCUUCUGAUUUCUCCAUGAACGGUACCCGAAUUGCCUUAACCUUAUUUUUUUCACUCUUUUUGCUCGACUUCCUGUCCGUAUCAAUGGUUGAUUGUCCUCUUCAUUUGGUAACUUCGUGUUCUGUACAGGUCUAUCUUCCGGUUGUUCUCUAGGCUUACCAACUGUUCAUGUAAUUCACCAAACAUUGUAAGUACACAUUCCAAACCGCAGGUUUUAAAAACCGUAGCUAUCUAAAACAUGUAUCAUUUUUACACAACCCUCUUCUAACAGAGUUACCUUCGUUGCUCAUCUCACAUUUCUGAUUCUUUGUUGUUGAAUUACCAUCGUCAUAACUCUUGUUGAACUCUACAUCAACUGAUGUGUUGGCACGUUCCCACUCUUUAUUCUUAUGGCCUGCUACAUGUUACCAAAAAAACAUAAUUAAGUGUAACUCUUACAUCUUACACAAUCAAAGCAUGUUAACUACUCUUACACUCUUCUUUACGCCAUUUUUCUUUUAGUCGCCGAAAGUACUCAGCUCUCUCUAAUAUAAACUGCUUUUUUUCUUCUAUCCUCUCCGCUGUCAAACAAAAAUAACAGUUAUACAACAAUAUAUAUCAGUAAACCAGAAAAUAAAAACCAAAACAACUUUUAGUGUGGUGUCUCUUUUUACUACUUGUUUCAAAAGGAUCAUCAGACAACGCAUGUGUUGCCUUUUCGUGGUCAAUCUUCUUUCUUCAUCUUGUCAGCUAAUCAAAACAAAAGCCAGUUAGUUGCUGAAGAUUGUGUCGUACAAACGUUCACCUUUUUACUACUAGCUAACCCAACAAAUAACAUAUUAAAAGUACAAUAACUUUACUUUCUUCAUCAUCAGAACAUAUUAUUGGGUCUUCUGCUUUGUUUACAAAUCUUGAUUUCCAUUUACCAGCUAUACGUUGGAUUUUCCGCCCUAUAUGUUUAUAUCAACAUCUUUUAAAGCAAGACUUUCUCGUUUAAAUAUUUUUAGUUCAUUGGUAACUGAUAUAUGCACUUACUAGUCCUCCUAUUGAUCUUUUUAAAUCACCUAAAAGAAACCAUGGAAAACAAUCAAAUGACAAAGUAUUAGAACCAAAGACGAUUAAACAGAAACUAUUAUCAGAAUAAGUAUUUAAUUCUAUGAUAAGGGAAAAAAACAUGUUUCAAAUUCUAUCCCAUUACCUACGUAUAUGUAUCUAUCAGACAUGUUAAUAUUAAAACACAUGGGUAUUUCCACCCCUUACACAUGUGUAUUGGUAUAUCUGAUUCAGUAUCCAAUCCCAACCACAUAUCCUAUGUAAUCCUUGAGUUGCAACAACUUGUAUACACAUGUGUUUUUUCCACCCCUUACACAUGUGUAUUGGUAUAUCAGAUUCAGUAUCCAAUCCCAGCCACAUAUCCUAUGUAAUCCUUGAGUUUCAACAACUUGUAUACACAUGUGUACUACUAUCCCAUACACAUGUGUAUAACUAGAAUAGAUAAGCAGACAGUUAACACCAAUUAAAACCAACCUCGUUUCAAUUGAUUUUUUCACAAAACUAUGAAACAGAAGUAGAAGACUCUACUAUUCUGACCCAAAUACAUACCAAUUACUACUGUAUACUAUGUAAAGUGACAAAAUACACAAAUACUUCUUUGUGAAAAAGAUAACAAACCAUCCCAAUGUUGUAAAAACUAAACAGAUUUCGUAAUCCCCAAUUAGCAAGAAGAACAAUAACGUAUAUACACUUGCUAUUCAACAUAUCUAGAUGGUAUAGGCUAAAGUUUUAAUACCUACACACCUAAUCGGUUACAUUUUCUCACCAAUCUAAGCAAACUAAGCCCUAGCUUAUAGAUUAAAGGUAUUUCGGAUCACUAGGGAGGAUAACUCAUAAUCACUCGACACAAAUAUGUAAUCGGCUUAAACAUAUAAACAAAUAACACCUGUACAUUACAAAAUCACUAGAGAAACAGUUCGAGCCGACUGAUUACGCAGAUCAAACUGAACCCUAGGUUUUGAGUUGUGAAGAUUAGUGUGUAUAAAGACGGAACAUUCAAAAUCUUUGAACGAUUACUACAAUAUGUAAUUAUACCUUGCUUUGAUGAUGCUUCUUGAGUUUUCCUCAGUUGCAGAAAUCGCCAAUAAAGGAGAGAGGUUGAAGACGGUUGUUCUUUGUUUGAUGAAAGAGGUUAUGAGUUGAAAGGUGGUUUUGAUAGGUUGAAGCUAUACACAAUCUAUAACUGUGUAGCCUAUUAUUACGUGAUUCAAAUUUCUACAUUUAAUCAUUACAAAGU
Helianthus annuus (common sunflower) is the source of this 6556-nucleotide long non-coding RNA. RefSeq lists it as uncharacterized. The transcript is spliced from 5 exons. NCBI's taxonomy places the organism in Eukaryota, Viridiplantae, Streptophyta, Magnoliopsida, Asterales, Asteraceae. The record is from RefSeq and is a predicted model, not a curated record.